RNAcentral lists this ribosomal RNA (439 nucleotides) under uncultured Sedimentibacter sp. RNAcentral describes it as "bacterial SSU rRNA". It matches the Rfam family "Bacterial small subunit ribosomal RNA", at positions 338 to 795 of the family's 1533-position model. The record is from RNAcentral. Lineage: Bacteria; Bacillati; Bacillota; Tissierellia.
CCUACGGGAGGCUGCAGUGGGGAAUAUUGCACAAUGGGGGAAACCCUGAUGCAGCGACGCCGCGUGAGUGAAGAAGGUCUUCGGAUCGUAAAACUCUGUCCUUGGUGAAGAUAAUGACGGUAGCCAAGGAGGAAGCCCCGGCUAACUACGUGCCAGCAGCCGCGGUAAUACGUAGGGGGCGAGCGUUGUCCGGAUUUACUGGGCGUAAAGGGUGAGUAGGCGGUUAUAUAUGUCAGGUGUAAAAGGCUAUGGCUUAACCAUGGUUAGCACUUGAAACUGUAUGACUUGAGUGCAGGAGAGGUAAGUGGAAUUCCUAGUGUAGCGGUGAAAUGCGUAGAUAUUAGGAGGAACACCAGUGGCGAAGGCGACUUACUGGACUGUAACUGACGCUGAGUCACGAAAGCGUGGGUAGCAAACAGGAUUAGAUACCCCGGUAGUC